This 313-nucleotide ribosomal RNA is filed under the name Paenibacillus polymyxa. Its description in RNAcentral is "partial 23S ribosomal RNA". It matches the Rfam family "Bacterial large subunit ribosomal RNA", at positions 1 to 311 of the family's 2925-position model. The record is from RNAcentral. Lineage: Bacteria; Bacillati; Bacillota; Bacilli; Caryophanales; Paenibacillaceae.
AGGUUAAGCUACAAAGAGCACACGGAGGAUGCCUAGGCGCCAGGAGCCGACGAAGGACGUGGCGAACAACGAUAAAGCCUCGGGGAGCUGUAAGCAAGCUUUGAUCCGGGGAUGUCCGAAUGGGGAAACCCGGCUGUCUUCAUCGACAGUCACUUUCUGCUGAAUACAUAGGCAGAAGAGAGGCAGACCAGGGGAACUGAAACAUCUAAGUACCCUGAGGAAGAGAAAACAAUAGUGAUUCCGUCAGUAGCGGCGAGCGAACGCGGAUUAGCCCAAACCAAGGAGCUUGCUCCUUGGGGUUGUGGGACGUCUC